This 497-nucleotide ribosomal RNA is filed under the name uncultured bacterium. Its description in RNAcentral is "bacterial SSU rRNA". It matches the Rfam family "Bacterial small subunit ribosomal RNA", at positions 15 to 507 of the family's 1533-position model. The record is from RNAcentral.
GAUCAUGGCUCAGGAUGAACGCUAGCGGCAGGCUUAAUACAUGCAAGUCGAGGGGCAGCGGGAGUAGCAAUACUUGCCGGCGACCGGCGCACGGGUGCGUAACGCGUAUACAAUUUGCCUUAUACAGGGAGAUAGCCCGGAGAAAUUCGGAUUAAUAUCCCAUAAUAUUGUGUAAUCGCCUGAUUAUAUAAUUAAAGCUACGGCGGUAUAAGAUGAGUAUGCGUCUGAUUAGCUAGUUGGUGAGGUAACGGCCUACCAAGCCGACGAUCAGUAGGGGGCGUGAGAGCGUGGCCCCCCACACGGGUACUGAGACACGGACCCGACUCCUACGGGAGGCAGCAGUAAGGAAUAUUGGACAAUGGACGAAAGUCUGAUCCAGCCAUCCCGCGUGCAGGAUGACUGCCCUAUGGGUUGUAAACUGCUUUUGGAAGGGAAGAAACGCCUGGAUUUAUCCGGGCCUGACGGUACCUUCAGAAUAAGCACCGGCUAACUCCGUG